RNAcentral lists this ribosomal RNA (465 nucleotides) under uncultured bacterium. RNAcentral's name for it is "bacterial SSU rRNA". It matches the Rfam family "Bacterial small subunit ribosomal RNA", at positions 917 to 1382 of the family's 1533-position model. The record is from RNAcentral.
GGGCCCGCACAAGCGGCGGAGCAUGUGGCUUAAUUCGACGCAACGCGAAGAACCUUACCAAAACUUGACACCAUAUUGAAAGAUGCAGAAAUGUAUCCUCUCUUCGGAGCAAUAUGACAGGUGGUGCAUGGCUGUCGUCAGCUCGUGUCGUGAGAUGUUGGGUUAAGUCCCGCAACGAGCGCAACCCUCAUCCCAUGUUGCUAACAGUUUAAGCUGAGCACUCUUGGGAAACUGCCGGCGUAAAGCUGGAGGAAGGUGGGGAUGACGUCAAGUCAUCAUGCCCUUUAUGUUUUGGGCCGCACACGUGCUACAAUGGCUUGUACAAAGAGCUGCGAUACCGUGAGGUGGAGCUAAUCUCUUAAAGCAAGUCCAAGUCCGGAUUGAAGGCUGAAAUUCGCCUUCAUGAAGUAGGAGUCGCUAGUAAUCGUGGAUCAGCAUGCCACGGUGAAUACGUUCCCGGGCCUU